AUUGAACGCUGGCGGCAGGCCUAACACAUGCAAGUCGAGCGGAUGCAGGGAACUUGCUCCUGGAUUCAGCGGGCGACGGGCGGGUGAUGCAGAGGAAUCUGCCUGGUUGCGUGUGCUAACGUCCGGACACGGGCGCUCAUACCGCAUAAGUGCUGAGGGCGUACGGGUGGGAGCUUCGGACCUUCCGCCCUUGGGUGAGUGAAUGUGCCGAGGUCGGAUUAGCUAGUUGGAGGGGUAAAGGCCCACCAAGGCGACGAUCCGUAGCUGGUCUGAGAGGAUGAUCAGCCACACUGGAACUGAGACACGGUCCAGACUCCUACGGGAGGCAGCAGUGGGGAAUAUUGGACAAUGGGCGAAAGCCUGAUCCGGCCAUGCCGCGUGUGUGAAGAAGGUCUUCGGAUUGUAAAGCCCUUUAAGUGGGGAAGAAGAGCAGUAAGUUAAUACCUUGCUGUUUUGACGGUACCAACAGAAUAAGCACCGGCUAACUUCGUG
RNAcentral lists this ribosomal RNA (492 nucleotides) under uncultured bacterium. RNAcentral's name for it is "partial 16S ribosomal RNA". It matches the Rfam family "Bacterial small subunit ribosomal RNA", at positions 30 to 507 of the family's 1533-position model. The record is from RNAcentral.